GAUGAACGCUGGCGGCGUGCUUAACACAUGCAAGUCGAACGAUGAAGCCCAGCUUGCUGGGUGGAUUAGUGGCGAACGGGUGAGUAACACGUGAGUAACCUGCCCUUAACUCUGGGAUAAGCCUGGGAAACUGGGUCUAAUACCGGAUAGGAGCGUCCACCGCAUGGUGGGUGUUGGAAAGAUUUAUCGGUUUUGGAUGGACUCGCGGCCUAUCAGCUUGUUGGUGAGGUAAGGGCUCACCAAGGCGACGACGGGUAGCCGGCCUGAGAGGGGGACCGGCCACACUGGGACUGAGACACGGCCCAGACUCCUACGGGAGGCAGCAGUGGGGAAUAUUGCACAAUGGGCGAAAGCCUGAUGCAGCGACGCCGCGUGAGGGAUGACGGCCUUCGGGUUGUAAACCUCUUUCAGUAGGGAAGAAGCGAAAGUGACGGUACCUUCAGAAGAAGCACCGGCUAACUACGUG
Molecule: ribosomal RNA, 466 nt
Filed under: uncultured bacterium
Lineage: Bacteria
Description: partial 16S ribosomal RNA
Rfam family: Bacterial small subunit ribosomal RNA
Source: RNAcentral